UUAACUCAUAUUUGUAUGGAACGGGAUCGUUUGCGUACGUUUGCCGCUAGGGGCGCUGUUCCAACUGCAUACAAAAUUGGGUUA
RNAcentral lists this microRNA precursor (84 nucleotides) under Bombyx mori (domestic silkworm). Its description in RNAcentral is "mir-2807 microRNA precursor family". It matches the Rfam family "mir-2807 microRNA precursor family". Lineage: Eukaryota; Metazoa; Arthropoda; Insecta; Lepidoptera; Bombycidae. The record is from Rfam by way of RNAcentral.